UCCCUUGUAGCUCAGUUGCUAAAGAAUCUGCCUGCAGUGCAGAAGACCCGGGUUUGAUCCCUGGGUUGGGAA
This 72-nucleotide transfer RNA is filed under the name Ovis aries (sheep). It matches the Rfam family "tRNA". Rfam says of the family: Transfer RNA (tRNA) molecules are approximately 80 nucleotides in length. Their secondary structure includes four short double-helical elements and three loops (D, anti-codon, and T loops). Further hydrogen bonds mediate the characteristic L-shaped molecular structure. tRNAs have two regions of fundamental functional importance: the anti-codon, which is responsible for specific mRNA codon recognition, and the 3' end, to which the tRNAs corresponding amino acid is attached (by aminoacyl-tRNA synthetases). tRNAs cope with the degeneracy of the genetic code in two manners: having more than one tRNA (with a specific anti-codon) for a particular amino acid; and 'wobble' base-pairing, i.e. permitting non-standard base-pairing at the 3rd anti-codon position. The record is from Rfam by way of RNAcentral. Lineage: Eukaryota; Metazoa; Chordata; Mammalia; Artiodactyla; Bovidae.